GCUUACACGGAGGUGACAGUCUGCUCGCUGACCUUCUCUGUUCUUCUCCAACAUUUCAAAUUAAUCUUUUAUUCUCCUCGUUUAUCCGGGUUCGUGGAGCGGAGCAUUUCAGCAGAAAUGGCGACAGAAAAAACAGAGCUGGACUUUACAAGAGACAGCGCUCCUCCUCAACGUAUUAAAAUCAUUUAAAAUAAGUGGAAAAGCUUGACGGACGUAAGUUGGCAGCACAGACUUGUUGUGUCCGGAGUCAGCAGGUCAGUAGAGCAAAUUAAAAACUGCUGGGAAGCAACGAGCGCUUUGUACAAGGAGAAACUAAAAAUGAGCAGAAGCUGUGCAGCUCCAACCAGCUUCACUUAUUAUGAAUUAAUGCAGUAAUAAUCGGCGGUCGACCUCUCUCCAAGGACACUGGAGUAGAAGUCGAUUUUCCACCGGAGGAAAGUUCACCCGAGACACCAGAAAGCCUGGAGCGCCAAAUCACAACAAACAGUUGCCCCAAGGCGCUUUAUAUUGUAAGGCAAGGCCAUACAAUAUGAUGAUGAUGAUGUAAAGAGCACAUUGGAAGAGGUUAAUGACAGCAGAUCUCCACAACCUGAAGACCACAGAGGAGGCUCCAGACAAAAAAAAUCAAAAGCCAUCAUCUGGUGAUGCUGAGUUCCUGGGUGAUCGAUCAGCCAGCAGAGAUCUUUACUGGACAACAUUCAACAGCAGCAUGAGAGGAAUCUGGAAAGAGAAGAGAGGCUUUUUUCCAGGUUUAUGGAAGAAAGUAUCCGCUUAACUGAAUGCAUUAUAGGGAAACUGUUUGAUGGUCUUCGGUCUCUCCUUCCUCAAUCCUACUCAUCAGCUCCACAUUUACAUGAACAAAGUUAGUCAAGGACCUCGCUGAGACGAUCAUGGAACAGCCCGAAAAUGACCACCCGUCCUGAGUGUUUCUUCAAGUACAGCUGGAUUUUCUAAACUGCAGCAGCUAUAGAUUUUCCAAAGUACUCAAUAUGCUCAGAAUGACCAGUACAUGUUUAGAAGGGUCAUAGAAGAGUGUAAAAUUUCUAGUUUGAAUAUUUUAAGAAAAAACAUUUGGUCAAACGACCUACAUAUAGUCUGGAAUCUUUAGUAUCUUAAACUUUCUGUUGUGGAUGUUCCCCUGAUAAUCUUUAAAACAUUUAAGACCUCUAGAUUCUGCUGUCUGCCAAAGAUACAAGAUUUGUUUUGUAUUUUCCACUUUAAAUGCAUAUUCCAUUGAUAACAGUAGGACUGAAAAUAAAAAAUUCAUAUUUGUAAAGCGUUCAUUUUCUAAUGAUGUGUGGUAAUAAGUUGACCCACUUAUUUUGGCCAUUUUCUCUUAAAAUAUCAAAAUUUUGGGCUGUUUGACCUGGAUAGAGAUUUUGGCA
Thalassophryne amazonica is the source of this 1385-nucleotide long non-coding RNA. RefSeq lists it as uncharacterized. The transcript has 4 exons. The record is from RefSeq and is a predicted model, not a curated record. NCBI's taxonomy places the organism in Eukaryota, Metazoa, Chordata, Actinopteri, Batrachoidiformes, Batrachoididae.